Long non-coding RNA from Pogona vitticeps (central bearded dragon), 1917 nucleotides. RefSeq lists it as uncharacterized. Lineage: Eukaryota; Metazoa; Chordata; Lepidosauria; Squamata; Agamidae. The record is from RefSeq and is a predicted model, not a curated record.
CCUGUUUUUCCAUCAGAAAAUGUUGUGUCUCACUGUGUUCAUCGCUCACAUACUUGGACAAGGAGACCAAAUCCUGAUCUGGAUAAUCCUCCCAAGGAGGAAGAGAAAGGUUUCGGACGUGGUGCUUCUCCCACAAUUGGGAGCCCACUCAAGUCACCUGCUCUGUCCUCGGAUGGAUCACUUCUGCCAUCCUCCUCCCCGGAGUCCCCUCCAGAGCCAAACCACUGGCUGGAACAACUGCUAUCAGCCCCUGAGCCCCCCAGCCCUGUGCCAGAGGUGGCCUGACCUGUUGGGAACCAUCUCAACAUGUCUGUGGCCCCAGACAGCCCACCAAAGGAAAGCUUAGGGGGCCAGAGACUGAUAGAUAGGGGCCCCUCUCCCUCUCGGCCCCAAAGCUCGGUGGUGGAGUGUUUGAUGGAAGACCCAACUCUUCCUUAGCAUGUCAUCUGUGAAGUGGGUCCCGUGGGGUCGCCUUCCGAUUCAGCAUUCUCUGUCCUGUCUCCUGAACCGGAGCAUCGUGGCCCAUGGGGUGAGGCCGAUGGGGAUCAAUCCCAUAAUGAUCUGACCCAAACCCUCACCCCACCCACAAAUGUUUUCAGGGAUGAGGUAUUGCCCAAGGCAAAAGAGGAACAGGCCAACGAUGGGGAUGAAGACAAUCAACGUCUCCUCCUGGCGGAGAUGCCCAUGGCUGCCCCACCCAACCUGGAGACAUAUGCAUGGGAACAGUGAGAAGAUCACAGCUGUCAUCACCCUCACUGGCACCCCCUCCUGUGCCCAAACCCUGGGGGGAGAAAUUGUUGGUGAUCCCUGAGCCCCCGAGCCCUGCGGUGGAGAUGCCACAGAAGGCAGCAAAGUGGGAUGCUCAGAGGGAGAUGUGUCUCUGCUGGUGGACCUGAAUGAAUUACAUCAAAAGUCUGAAUUUGUAGCCGAAGCUAGCUGGGAUGCUUGUGGAGGUGCUUCUGAGGCUUUCUCACCUUCUCCAGAAGAACCUCCUAAAUCAGAGGAUCAUGGCCUGGGGGCUCAGGCCAAUGGGGAUAUGCGCUUCCAGGACCAGCUGGCCUCGCUAGGGGCUCAAGAUGGGAGCUUCAGCAGCGGCAAGAGCAGCUCCUCCAGAAAUCACCCCAUCAGAAGAACAAGUUGGUGGAAGAUCUGGACCUUGAAGUGACGCAGGCUGCAGAGGUGGGUGCCUGUCCUGGAAUAAGGCUGCUACUAAGGAGGUGGAAACACAGGAAGAAAAACAGGUGUUCCAUCUGUUGAGAGGGUCCGAGCUGGCCCAGAGGGACUCUUAGAGAAGAUCAAGUCCAUCCCUGUUCAGUAGAAGAUCUGGCGUGAAUCCACUUUCACCCAACAGUGUCAUCCUCGUCUAAGCAGCCAUUCAGUUGUUUCUGCUUUCUCCACCCCCUUUCCUUCCCACCCCCUCCAGGGUCCUCUCCACCCCCUUUCCUUUCCAUGCCUAAAUGUGUUGGUGUGUGAUUUAGAACAAUUUACACAUCUGUAAAUGGGUAUUUACUAAGUAACACACUUCUACUAUGGAAUAACGAUCCGGGGUAACACUCACUGCCUCGUCAUGAAGAACAUUUUCUCUUGAUUUGAGGCUGGUCCUAACAUUAGGGAGAGCACAGAGCAACAGGAAAAGACAGCAAAGUUACCACCAUCCUACAUUGCUAUGGUGUUUUUACUGGCAGGUGCCUCGGGAAUAUUUUGCUUUAUGGGUCCAAAUCACCGUUGGUGCCGAAUGACCUUACCUUCACUAGGGCAACCAGACUCUGAAGUUUGGGGCUGUGCCUCAGGCAGCGAAAAGUUACAGGACACUCCCUGGUUGCGCAUGUGCCCAGACUAAAGUAUGCUACAGGGCAGUUUGAGUCUUUUCAUAUAAUCUCGUGUUGUCGAAAGAAGAUUUGGUGUUUCUCAGUUUGC